Molecule: long non-coding RNA, 408 nt
Filed under: Glycine max (soybean)
Lineage: Eukaryota; Viridiplantae; Streptophyta; Magnoliopsida; Fabales; Fabaceae
Description: long non-coding RNA (GMAX_LNC003230)
Source: RNAcentral
CAAUAUCCAACUAGGCCACAUCUAACUCAAACGUUAACAUUGACUCUUCUCCUUGGAGUUUUGUACAAUAUGAGUGAACUCCCAUGAACCUCAUCCCUUAACAUAGUCUUACUCUUAGCAUAACCAUUUCAAUAAUCUAUUUAUCUUGAUAACAAUAGAACACUUACCAUCGUGGCCUAGCAUCAAGAAAUGACCUUCUUCCAUUCUUACACUAAGCCACAACUUAUUUGGAGCUAUAUCUUCCAUUUUGUCACUUUCUAGUCCACCAAAACAAAUACUUGCAGGGCCAAAACCCCCUAGAGUGCAAGCACCAUUCUAUCACUUUACUGGGCUAACCAAAACAAAUUUUCAUUGGGCCAAAACCCCUCUAUCACAUUUCUGGCCCAAUCGAACUCAAGUCUAGUUGGG